RNAcentral lists this transfer RNA (76 nucleotides) under Neisseriaceae bacterium. RNAcentral describes it as "tRNA-Gln". It matches the Rfam family "tRNA". Rfam says of the family: Transfer RNA (tRNA) molecules are approximately 80 nucleotides in length. Their secondary structure includes four short double-helical elements and three loops (D, anti-codon, and T loops). The record is from RNAcentral. Lineage: Bacteria; Pseudomonadati; Pseudomonadota; Betaproteobacteria; Neisseriales; Neisseriaceae.
UGGGGAGUCGUCAAGUGGUUAAGACAACGGGUUUUGAUCCCGUCAUGCGAAGGUUCGAAUCCUUCCUCCCCAGCCA